Molecule: ribosomal RNA, 253 nt
Filed under: uncultured bacterium
Lineage: Bacteria
Description: partial 16S ribosomal RNA
Rfam family: Bacterial small subunit ribosomal RNA
Source: RNAcentral
UACAGAGGUCUCAAGCGUUGUUCGGAUUCAUUGGGCGUAAAGGGUGCGUAGGCGGCGCGGUAAGUCGGGUGUGAAAUCUCGGAGCUUAACUCCGAAACUGCAUUCGAUACUGCCGUGCUUGAGGACUGGAGAGGAGACUGGAAUUUACGGUGUAGCGGUGAAAUGCGUAGAUAUCUGGAGGAACACCGGUGGCGAAGGCGGCAUCCUGGACCAAUACUGACACUGAAAAGCGAAAGCCAGGGGAGCAAACGGG